Molecule: ribosomal RNA, 591 nt
Filed under: Hestiella acidicharens (SeqCode)
Lineage: Archaea; Thermoproteati; Thermoproteota; Thermoprotei; Acidilobales; Acidilobaceae
Description: bacterial SSU rRNA
Rfam family: Archaeal small subunit ribosomal RNA
Source: RNAcentral
ACUCCGGUUGAUCCUGCCGGACCCGACUGCUAUCGGGGUAAGGCUAAGCCAUGGGAGCCGCACGCCCUAUCGCUAUAGGGCGUGGCGCACGGCUGAGUAACGCGUGGCUAACCUACCCUAGGGACUGGGAUAACUCCGGGAAACUGGAGCUAAACCCGGAUAGGCGAGGAGUCCUGGAAAGGUUCCUCGCUGAAAGAGGUCCUAAGGGGUUAACGCUUAGGACCUGCCCUAGGAUGGGGCUACGUCCCAUCAUGGUAGUUGGCGGGGUAAUGGCCCGCCAAGCCUACGACGGGUAGGGGCCCUGAGAGGGGGAGCCCCCAGAUGGACCCUGAGACAAGGGUCCAGGCCCUACGGGGUGCACCAGGCGCGAAACCUCUGCAAUGCGGGAAACCGUGACAGGGUUACCCCGAGUGCUCUCUUUAAGGGAGCUUUUACCCGCUGUAAGUAGGCGGGGGAAUAAGCGGGGGGCAAGUCUGGUGUCAGCCGCCGCGGUAAUACCAGCCCCGCGAGUGGUCGGGACGAUUACUGGGCCUAAAGCGCUCGUAGCCGGCCUAGCAAGUCCUCUCUGAAAGCUCCGGGCCCAACCCGGAG